AGAGAAGCUUGCUUCUCUUGAGAGCGGCGGACGGGUGAKUAAUGCCUAGGAAUCUGCCUGGUAGUGGGGGAUAACGUUCGGAAACGGACGCUAAUACCGCAUACGUCCUACGGGAGAAAGCAGGGGACCUUCGGGCCUUGCGCUAUCAGAUGAGCCUAGGUCGGAUUAGCUAGUUGGUGAGGUAAUGGCUCACCAAGGCGACGAUCCGUAACUGGUCUGAGAGGAUGAUCAGUCACACUGGAACUGAGACACGGUCCAGACUCCUACGGGAGGCAGCAGUGGGGAAUAUUGGACAAUGGGCGAAAGCCUGAUCCAGCCAUGCCGCGUGUGUGAAGAAGGUCUUCGGAUUGUAAAGCACUUUAAGUUGGGAGGAAGGGCAUUAACCUAAUACGUUAGUGUUUUGACGUUACCGACAGAAUAAGCACCGGCUAACUCUGUGCCAGCAGCCGCGGUAAUACAGAGGGUGCAAGCGUUAAUCGGAAUUACUGGGCGUAAAGCGCGCGUAGGUGGUUUGUUAAGUUGGAUGUGAAAUCCCCGGGCUCAACCUGGGAACUGCAUUCAAAACUGACUGACUAGAGUAUGGUAGAGGGUGGUGGAAUUUCCUGUGUAGCGGUGAAAUGCGUAGAUAUAGGAAGGAACACCAGUGGCGAAGGCGACCACCUGGACUAAUACUGACACUGAGGUGCGAAAGCGUGGGGAGCAAACAGGAUUAGAUACCCUGGUAGUCCACGCCGUAAACGAUGUCAACUAGCCGUUGGGAGCCUUGAGCUCUUAGUGGCGCAGCUAACGCAUUAAGUUGACCGCCUGGGGAGUACGGCCGCAAGGUUAAAACUCAAAUGAAUUGACGGGGGCC
RNAcentral lists this ribosomal RNA (853 nucleotides) under Pseudomonas sp. RNAcentral's name for it is "bacterial SSU rRNA". It matches the Rfam family "Bacterial small subunit ribosomal RNA", at positions 72 to 921 of the family's 1533-position model. Lineage: Bacteria; Pseudomonadati; Pseudomonadota; Gammaproteobacteria; Pseudomonadales; Pseudomonadaceae. The record is from RNAcentral.